UACGGAGGGGGCUAGCGUUGUUCGGAAUCACUGGGCGUAAAGCGCGCAUAGGCGGUUUAUCAAGUUGGGCGUGAAAGCCCGGGGCUCAACCCCGGAUGUGCGCUCAAGACUGGUAGGCUCGAGUCCGGGAGAGGUGAGCGGAAUUCCCAGUGUAGAGGUGAAAUUCGUAGAUAUUGGGAAGAACACCAGAGGCGAAGGCGGCUCACUGGACCGGUACUGACGCUGAGGCGCGAAAGCGUGGGGAGCAAACAGG
This 253-nucleotide unclassified non-coding RNA is filed under the name uncultured Alphaproteobacteria bacterium. RNAcentral describes it as "contains 16S-23S intergenic spacer region". It matches the Rfam family "Bacterial small subunit ribosomal RNA", at positions 524 to 776 of the family's 1533-position model. Lineage: Bacteria; Pseudomonadati; Pseudomonadota; Alphaproteobacteria. The record is from RNAcentral.